Molecule: long non-coding RNA, 605 nt
Organism: Falco peregrinus (peregrine falcon)
Lineage: Eukaryota; Metazoa; Chordata; Aves; Falconiformes; Falconidae
Exons: 3
Source: RefSeq, a predicted model, not a curated record
UGGUUCCAGAGACUUGUGCAAAACCAGGCUUUGUUUCUCAUUGCUGGUGAGGCCAGGCUGCAUGCUGGGCCAGGCAAGGAGAUGUAGGUCAAGGGAGGGAUGUGAAUAAGCUGGAAGGAGGCCAGCAAACAGCUCCAAGUACUGGAUGUAAUUAUUAUGAGGGUGACAUGGUGAAAGGCAGAGCCCCAGUCCAGAGAGAUGUCUCUAAAUGGGAGGACUGGAUCACCAGAAUGCUCACAAAACCCAGCAAGUGCCAGUGGUGCCUGCUGCACAAAGGCAUUGUUUUCUUGGAGCCCUGGGAUCCUCAGCCACACCAUGUUUCCAGUGCUGCUUUUGCCGAUAUCACUUUCUGCUGGGUGGAUUUCUGACUAUCGUACCAUCUCACGUUGGUGGAACAGGGGUUGCUGAAAUGCUGGAGCAGUCUCCACCCUGAGCUGUUGGUGCAACAGCAGCCCACAUAGUUAAAUAUUAGCAGAAGUUACUUAUUUCCCCUAAAGGAGGAUCUUUAUAGCUCUGCCCUUACUCUGUAUUGUAGUCCCAGCAAUACUGUAACUCUGACAGCAGGGGUUAGAAAUUUGAUUUGUUAAGACAUUGCAAUGUCAUUA